CACAUGCAAGUCGAGCGAUUCUCUUCGGAGAAGAGCGGCGGACGGGUGAGUAACGCGUGGGUAACCUGCCCUGUACACACGGAUAACAUACCGAAAGGUAUGCUAAUACGGGAUAACAUAAGAAAUUCGCAUGUUUUUCUUAUCAAAGCUCCGGCGGUACAGGAUGGACCCGCGUCUGAUUAGCUAGUUGGUGAGGUAACGGCUCACCAAGGCGACGAUCAGUAGCCGACCUGAGAGGGUGAUCGGCCACAUUGGAACUGAGACACGGUCCAAACCCCUACGGGAGGCAGCAGUGGGGAAUAUUGCACAAUGGGCGAAAGCCUGAUGCAGCAACGCCGCGUGAGCGAUGAAGGCCUUCGGGUCGUAAAGCUCUGUCCUCAAGGAAGAUAAUGACGGUACUUGAGGAGGAAGCCCCGGCUAACUACGUGCCAGCAGCCGCGGUAAUACGUAGGGGGCUAGCGUUAUCCGGAUUUACUGGGCGUAAAGGGUGCGUAGGCGGUCUUUUAAGUCAGGAGUGAAAGGCUACGGCUCAACCGUAGUAAGCUCUUGAAACUGGAGGACUUGAGUGCAGGAGAGGAGAGUGGAAUUCCUAGUGUAGCGGUGAAAUGCGUAGAUAUUAGGAGGAACACCAGUUGCGA
Molecule: ribosomal RNA, 638 nt
Filed under: uncultured bacterium
Lineage: Bacteria
Description: bacterial SSU rRNA
Rfam family: Bacterial small subunit ribosomal RNA
Source: RNAcentral